RNAcentral lists this long non-coding RNA (271 nucleotides) under Phaseolus vulgaris (common bean). Its description in RNAcentral is "long non-coding RNA (PVUL_LNC002458)". Lineage: Eukaryota; Viridiplantae; Streptophyta; Magnoliopsida; Fabales; Fabaceae. The record is from RNAcentral.
GGAAGAGUCCAACACUGGAGAAGUAUGAUGGAAGCAUUGAUCUUGAUGAGCAUGUUGUUAUAUAUAGUACUUAAGUCAGCUUAUACACCUCUAAUGAUGCCAUUUUAUGUAGAGUAUUUUCGACAACGCUGAAAGGAGCUACAUUGAGUUGGUUCACAAGAUUACCACCUUAUUCGAUUGACUCUUUUGACACCUUGGUGAUGAAAUUUGGAGCUUAGUUUGCAACCAGUAGGCCACAUCAUUUGAUGUUUAUUGCAUUGGUGAAUAUUCG